RNAcentral lists this transfer RNA (68 nucleotides) under Zyginella minuta. RNAcentral describes it as "tRNA-Gln". Lineage: Eukaryota; Metazoa; Arthropoda; Insecta; Hemiptera; Cicadellidae. The record is from RNAcentral.
UGCAAUUAGGUGUUUGAUGCACAUAAAUUUUUGAUAUUUAAGGGUGAGUUUAAUUCUUAAAUUUGCAA